UCUCGUUCAUUAUGUGAUGCAUGC
This 24-nucleotide non-coding RNA is filed under the name Arabidopsis thaliana (thale cress). Lineage: Eukaryota; Viridiplantae; Streptophyta; Magnoliopsida; Brassicales; Brassicaceae. The record is from RNAcentral.